AACGCACGAGACCUGCGGACCUGCGGAGGGAUCAUUAAAGAGUUGCAAGACUCCCAAACCAUUGUGAACGUUACCCACACCGUUGCUUCGGCGGGCGGCCCGGGCCCUGCCCGGCGCCCCCCGGCCCCUCGCGGGCGCCCGCCGGAGGUAAACCAAACUCUUGAAUUGUAUGGCCUCUCUGAGUCUUCUGUACUGAAUAAGUCAAAACUUUCAACAACGGAUCUCUAGAUCGGAAGAGCA
This 240-nucleotide unclassified non-coding RNA is filed under the name soil metagenome. RNAcentral describes it as "partial contains 5.8S ribosomal RNA, internal transcribed spacer 2, and large subunit ribosomal RNA". The record is from RNAcentral.